UGGCGUGUGUGUGUGUGUCGCCCCAAGCAGGAGAAAAAGAGGAGAAACCCUAAAAUCCUUGAAGUUGCAAAAUUGAGAAGGGAAAUUGAAGCUAAUCAUAUGCAUGAAUCUGAAUGUGCAACCAUUUAAGCCUACUAAUCAAGUGGCAUAGGGAUCAUGUGGAAAUGGACUCAAGAACGGAAGGUUAACGGGUUAAGCGGAGGCGAGGAAGCAAGCAUGAACACUAACGCUCGAGGUAAGUGAUUCUAAUUUCACUUUUUAGCUUGUUUAAAUAAGGUAUUGUUCUAGAUAAUUGAGUAUGUUACGAAGUCAAACAUGGAUUUGGUUGAAUGAAAACGAUGGUUCUCGCUAAGUAGAUCGAAUGUGUCAAAUGAAGUUUUGUUGUCAUAACAUAAUGAAGUGUAAGUAAGUUCCGAACCUCUUUUUAGUAUUUAGAAAGAUUUGUUAAUUUUUUCAUAUGUUGCGAAUAGUGAGAUAUGUAAGAACGUAAGAUCAGAUGAAGUUCUAAGUUUAGUUUUGUGGUAAUGGGUCAAAAAUGUUAACUAAGUCGAAAAGUGUGUAUUAAAGAUCAAAUGGGUCAAAAACUAGGUAGCGGGGUAAGGUAAGGAUUCGACCAUUAAGGCAUGAUUGUUAGUAUUAGAAUGAUUUAGGGGCUUGGACAAAUGUUAUUUUACGUUUUGGGACGCUCGGGGUGCACGAACAGGGGUCGAAACGGUGAAAAUAAGCAAAAAAAAAACGGAGAGCAGAUCUGCAGAGGGGCGUCCCCGACGCCGCUACCAGCGUCGCCGACGCUGGUGGGUUUUGGCCGACGCCCUAUGUUGCUAGUUAAGUCAGUUUCUUUGUUUUCUUUGAUUCUCGGGCCCCGUAAGCCCAUUCCUAAGCCCCGUUAGACCCCCGUCAUGCACCCUAACUUUACCAAAUAGUUGUGUGAGUUAUGGAUGAGUAAGGAACCCGUUUUAAAGCUUCCGAAAUGCAACCCAAAUUUAAGAGAGAGUUUUUAUCAAGUAUGGGUAAGAAGGGAACUUGCUCGUGGGUAUGCAUAAGGAUAAAAUAAGUAGUUAUACAUGUGGGUAUGUGUUUGAUUGUAUGUAAGUAAUUGGAACUCGUAGGUGAGUAUGACUAUGAACGCGUAAGUAUGGAGAUUUAUGUGUAUGUAAUUUACAUGUAUAGACGUGUGUGUUUAGGGCUUGCAUGUAAUAUUGUGUAAGAUGUAAAUUGUAAGUUUUUGUACGAACAGAAAGGUAUGUAUGCAUGGAUUGGAAUUUAAAUAUAUGCACGAAUGAAUGAGACUUGUUUAUGCGUAUAUGUGGACUUAUUCAUAUGAAUGAAAUCUAACGAUGCUAACCGUUUUUCUAUUGAGAAUGAAAUGGAAGUGCAGGUAUGCAAAUAAUGGAAGUUGUAGGUUUGACACAAAAUCCAAUGAUGGUGUUCGAAUGGAUGGAUGAAUGGAUUAACAUAAGCGAAAGCAUGAGAUGUCGACGCCUAACUAUGUUGCGUGGAUUUAGCAUCAUUAUGAAGGAUAGAAAGAUUGAAGAUCGAGUCAAGAGCAAAGGAUUGUACGGGAAAGAUCGGUCACAUAGUUUAGCAAAUGUAGGUCCGAAGUAUUAAUAUAAUGGAACGUGGUAAAUCCUUUUUAAUGAAUGUAUGACAUUUGAUAUUCAAACUUUCCUGUAAGUAUAUGUCUAUUAAAGAACGAAAUUUUUGG
RNAcentral lists this long non-coding RNA (1705 nucleotides) under Helianthus annuus (common sunflower). RNAcentral's name for it is "hypothetical non coding rna". Lineage: Eukaryota; Viridiplantae; Streptophyta; Magnoliopsida; Asterales; Asteraceae. The record is from RNAcentral.